CCGGAAGUGUACUUGUUGUCUUUCCGGCGGAAGCUGCAGACGGCGAGUAUUGCAGCGGCAAAGCCUACACACACUGGGUUGAAAAGAGCUUCUCUUAUUCAGCGUUACAUGUCCUCUUGAACACAGACAUGUAUCGCCCGGGUGAACCUGUUCGCCAGGCGCCUCCACCGCUGCCGUUCGGACCUCCACCGCCUCACGGCCCUCCUUUUAGACUCACAGGGCCCUGCUCUGUUCCUCCUCCUGGACACUUACCCCCCAGGCCCUGUGGACCAUAUCCCGGCGCGGCACGAGAUUAUCUCCACAACAGACCGUCGAGUGGGCAUUUCGUUCGUCCCCACUGUAGCAGCUUCUCCAUAGACCGUAGUACACCAAUUGCUUUGGGAGGAAGCCAGCAGAUCGUUACUCCUGCUGAACCAUCAACACAUCCGGUACCACAGUGGAAUCCCCCUCCAGUGGAACGUCAUUCUCUAGAUAAUAGUGACCGUGCUGGUGAGGAAUUCCUGAGAUGCAUUGCAGCCAACAAACCCCUCCCAAACUAUCUCAAAGGCAACAUGGCAUACAACCUGGCUGAGGCAUUUAAGUCAGCUAGUAUAUUGAAAGAAGCAGUCAAAUCAGACCGUGAAUUCCAGAAGCAUGUGGCUAGAAGCAAGAGCCGUAGUCGAAGCCGUAGCAGAAGCCAAGGCAGGUCUCGAGCCAGGAGUCGUGGUCGAAGCAAAAGCAGAGUACGCAGCCGAAGCAGGGGAAGAAGCAAAACUCAUGCCUGUGGGAAGAGUCGAGCUAGAAGCAAAAGCAGGGUUCGCAGUAGGAGUCGGAGCGACAGUCGAAUUGAGAAAAAGAGUCAUGUACGGAGCAAGAGUCGAGCAAGGCGAUCCAAGUCACGAAGUAGCAGUAGUGAAAAGAGCCGAGGCAAAGGCAAAAAGAGAAACAGGAGCCCUGGACUCAUCACCGUCAACAGCAGUAAUAAUCUGCCAGGAAAUAGUCUGUUAGAAGGAUUGAAGCUGGUUAUGAGCAGCCAAGAUUUGGAAGAUCAGCUGCCAUCUCUCAAAGAUAUCAUUCUCACUAUUAAGGCUCCAGAUGAGGGGAAAAAAGUUGAGUGUGUAUCUAAUGAGCCUACACAUAUGGAACAUGACAGUCAAGACAGUUUAUCAAUGCUGGAAAAGGAAAGCAUGCUGCUUCCACAUGAAAGAGUUGGUGGUGAUUUCUCAUGGCUUCAAGGACAAAGUCAAGAAGAUGCUGCAUACCAGAAAGCUAAUGAACUUGAAGAUGAAGAGUCUUUCUUGUAUGGGAAUGAACCAGCUUCCCAGAUUAAUGAAAAGGCCAAACUACAGAAAGAGAGUAGUUCCCUUUCCACUCGUUGUGGACAUCUUCUUGAUCCAAAUCAGUCCCUGCAGUUGGCUUCUUCAACUUUUGUCCACUCCAAUCUGGACAACAUGGAAUAUGAGAAAAUCAAGAUCAUAUUAAAAAGCCUGGGUUCAUCAAGUGAGAUCAAGGGGAAGACGCAGGGUCAGAAUGAGCAGGAGUCAUCUUCUACACUUGUCAAUUCAGACAAAGCAGCAGCAACUUUAGCAUUGCCAGCACUCAAUAACCCAAAUGUACGUCAGGCUCUGGAGUCUCUGCAAUCUCUGAUCAAAGCUACAAAGGACAAACGAACAAAAAGUGACUGCACAUCUCAAGCAUCUGAUAAACAUAAGGAGGGUGACAGUGAGGAAAGGAAGAGAGAGAAACAACAGAAAGUAAAUAAAAUGGAGUCUUUGGCCAAAGAACUGGAUGAACUGUUAAAACAAGAUGGACAGGGUUUUAUAACUUCAGUUACUGGCUUUUACUGCCAGAAAUGUGAGGAGUUCAUUGGAGAUUUGAAGUCUGCUGAAAACCAUGCAGCUAUCCGCCAUCAUAGUAAUUCUAUUCCAAAAGAACAGACGGACAGGCACUCUAAAGACAGCAAAGGACACCCUCAUCAUUACAGUGCCUCCAGUAAUCGACACCCUGCCCCCCCAGACAGGAGAGAUCACAGGGGUUAUGGUUACCACGGGGAUUCAGGAAACCACCGGAAUAGGACAGACCAUCUACGGAAUUGGAAGGAUGAGAAAGAUUUCAGAAGCCAAUACCAUGAUGAUGACCACAAAAGUCACAAGGAUAGAGAUGAAAACAUCUUCUUGAAAGAGGAAAUGAAAAAGGAGCAAAUGUUUAUAACAGUCUCCGAUGGACUGACACCUUCAACUUCUAACAUCAGGGUCAAGGAGGAGGUGGACAAGGAGAAGGCCACUGGAAGCCAUGGUAAAGUUAAAGCGAAAGACCUAGAAUCAUCCAAGGAGAAAAAAGGCAGCAUUGAAAAUGAUAAAUACAGUGAUAGCACUGAUGAUGACGGAAAAUCACCUAAAACAAAAAAGAAUAAAAAGAAAAAGAAGAAGAAGGAGAAAAAGAAUAAGAAACAGAAGGAAGAUAAGUCUUAGGUGUUAUAUUGUCCUUGUCAUAUAACUCUGGGAUCAUGGUGUAGCAGCUUAUUUCUGGACUGAUUUUCUAACAUAGUUUUCUCACUUUCUUUUCCUCCACCCAAUUGUUUUUUGUUACUGUCAUUAUGAAGGAAUAGACUGAUAUGUUAGGAAGCACGUUUGUUGGUGGUCGUUCUCUAAAAGUAGUUUAGUAUUACUUUUAUCUUUGUGUAUCUAGGACAGUGGUCUUUACCUCACUUAGAACUAAGAUUGACUUUUCUCAGUUAAUUUAGGUAUUUUUUCCCACUUCAGACAGCGUGUGUGCUCGGUCAAAUGAAUUCUCAUGUGGAAUGAAAUGUUCUCAUGUGUUCCUCAGUAAACAGGCAAACAAAAACCUUUUCCAAAACGUCUGUUCCCUUUACACAUUCUGCACAGUUUUCAGCAGUACUGUAUUAAUGUCUGCCACGUUUCAGGUAUGGCAUCACAUCUUGGUUCUAUCUUUUAAUUAAAUGUUCGAGAAAAUAAGCAGUAAGUACUUUUUUCAUUUCAUUGGACCAACAGCAUUGUAGUUUUAGAAAAGUUAUACAUGUAUCUGACAUCUUGUAUUCAUUAUGAUCUCAAAUAAAGUAAAAUAAACAAAUGUGUACUAUUCCUUAGUUUUUUGGGUUUUCUUUUUUGAUUUUAAAGUCAACUUUAUACUGUGUUUGAGUGGCAAAAAAGGGUCACUAAUGUCCCUACAGCACUUCAGCAUCAGAACUGUAAGCCUUUCCCACCCCAGUAUUGCAUCCUUUUCUUGCUUCCUUCCCCACACAUUCAGUUCCUUGGUAAUUUAACUGCUCAUUGGAUCGGAACUAUGAUUGGUCAUUUUAUAUUGAUGCUUUUAUGUUCUGUGUCUUAUGUGGUGGUCUCUGUGCCUUUUUAAUUGCCCCUUGGAGAUAAAUAAAGGGAAUUUGAAUUGUAUCAAUACAUUUGAAGUGGUCAUAUACGUGUUUGA
Oreochromis aureus is the source of this 3423-nucleotide long non-coding RNA. The record is from Ensembl. NCBI's taxonomy places the organism in Eukaryota, Metazoa, Chordata, Actinopteri, Cichliformes, Cichlidae.